Tachysurus fulvidraco (yellow catfish) is the source of this 6221-nucleotide long non-coding RNA. RefSeq lists it as uncharacterized. The record is from RefSeq and is a predicted model, not a curated record. The transcript is spliced from 2 exons. Lineage: Eukaryota; Metazoa; Chordata; Actinopteri; Siluriformes; Bagridae.
CAUCUUUUUUGCGUUGCAGCUGAUUGUCCACUGCGCGGAGCUCUGAUCAGUCCGCAUGAGUCCAGAGAGAAAGCUGCGAGGGAGGAUUCAAAAGUCAGCGGCUUUACAGGAGGAUGCAGACCAGCCACAGAACUGAAGGUUGCAGAAGGAGUUAAGCUGAACAGCACUGAAGAGGAAGAGGAAGAAGAGCAGGUAGAUGAGCAACAUGUCACCCAUAUCCACUCAUCUCAUUAAGCAUAUUUCCAUCCAUGCAUGACUUUAUGGAAGUAUAUCAUGCAGAGAUAUUGAUCAGAAACAUGUGGGGGAACCAUGUCUGGCUGCUAGUGAAACAUGACUGUCUCCAUUGUUCCAGGUUUCCCCACCCCAUUACGCACAGGCCAAACACGCAGGCAGAAAUACUCCUAAAGGACCUUGAGCGUGAACCCACCCCCCUCACUGAAAUACCAUUUUUUCUUCACUCUGUGUGCAUAUAUAAAUGUGAUUCUGAAACCACAUAGCUCAUGUGUAAUUAAAUGAAAGUGCUGUUUUAUUUUGCACAAGGGGGAGAUGUGAGCAGUGCACGAGCAGUGCCGGAGUCUGGCAUGCUUCAUGCUUUAUUUUCAAAGAGCAUCGUUGCACAAAAUGUCCUUAGUCGUGUCAGAUCCGUUUAGAAUUCUGCUCUCAAAAUAGAUGCACUUAAUCAAUAAUCAUUUGAUUAUUGAUAAUCAUAUAAUCAUUUAGGACACAGCAUCACAACCAUGUAAAUGUGGUUAUGAGCACAAAGUAUAAGAGAGUAAUAAAAAAAAAGCAUCCUAAUGCCAUCUAGAACUAGAAGCAUUUAUAGUAAACUCAAGGACACAAGACACUGUGUAGGUGUGAGUCUUAUUUUGGACACAGGCCCCAACAGUGUGUUGGACUGGGAUGAGCCGAGCCAUGCUGCAGCACUGCGGACCAUCAGGCGAAAGGCUGCAGGACAAACAGGCUGAAACACAGCAGGACCCAUAUGGCCUGGAGAAGAGCCACAGCCAAGUAGAACACACACAUUCACAUGCAAGUUUACACCAAUUAGCCAUAACUUUAAGGCCAAUGACAGGUGAAGUGAAUAGCAUUGAUUAUCUUGUUACAUGGGCACCUGUCAAGGGAUGGGAUAUAUCAGGCAGAAAAUUAAGUCACAUUGAAUUUGAUGUGUUGGAAGCAGGAAAAAUAGGCAAGAUGGGAUGUUCCUGGUAUUCAGUGAUUAUUAAUUUCCAAAAGUGGUGCAAGGAAGGACAAACAGUGAACCGGUGAUCAUGUCAUUGAUGUGUGUGGGGACAGAACUGUAGUAGAAAUUGCUGAAAAAGUUAAUGGCUUAAUAGGAAAGUGUCAGAACACACACUAAAUUCCAGCUUGCUGCCUUGCCACAGACUGGUCCAAGCGUCCAUGUCCUCUGCUGAAAGUGCUUAGAAUGGGCAUGUUACAUUGAUACAUAUCAGCAAUGUCACCGUGGAUCAUGUACCCUUCUUCAUGGCCAGCCUUUCCUAAUGCAGUGGCAUCUUCUAGAAUCCUGCUGAAAUGCAAAAAUGGUUCAGGAAUGGUUUGUGGAUCAUGACAAAGAGUUCAAGGUGCUGAAUUGGCAUCAAUUCCACAGAUCUCAAUCUGAUCGUGUAUCUGUAGGAUGUGCUGGAUAAACAAGUAUGAUUUAUGAAGGCUCACCUUACAACUUAAAGGACUUACUGCUAACGUCUUGUUGCCAGAUACCACAGCACACCUAUAGAGGUCUUGUGGAGUCAGUGUGUGGAUAGGUCAAAGCCGUUUUGGUGGUACAAGGGAGGUGGUUUUAUUUUGAUGGGUGAUUGGUGGACAUUUCUCCUGCUAUAUAAACUCUCAUGACUUGUUAACUUGAUAUACUGGAUCUUGUGUAAAGUUGAACAGUAAUAAUUCUCUGUGGAAAUUAAACUAUGCUUAAUGUGCAUCUGCACUGAUCUUGGAGAAACAAACACUCAAUCUGACUGACUCAAAUUUUAGUUACAUAAACCCAUAUAUAUGGGCAUAUAUAAUACAUCAACAUCGCUCAUCAGUCACUCUCUUGCAGAUCACAUCAAGUUCCAGCAGAGUCUCUAUAUGCAUAUUUAUCUAAGUUUGCUUACCUCAUUUCACUCCCUCCCUUCUGUGUGUCUUAAAAAAUGAACAGGAAGAACCAAGGACAAACAUAUUGGUCUUGGUUAUUGGAGCAUCAUUCUGAAGUAACUUCACUUAUCAAUGAUAUAACAAAAAUUUCAGGGCCUCGGCAUCAAGGUGGUAUGGAAGAAGCAGAUGGGUUAUUGGAAAGCAGCCACACAAGGUUCUACUCAGCAUCAAUCGAUACAAUUUGUAAGCAAACAGGCUUGGUGAAAUCAGCACAUUAAACAAGACUGGGUAUCAUGUUAGGAAUGGAUGGCUGAGAUCCAUUUGCAGCAUUCAAGGUGAUGCAGCACUCAUUAACAUUAAAGCAUUCAGGAUGAUGCAGCUCUCCAGUUGUGCUAUCUUUGGAUGCAUUAUAGUAAUAGCUCAUCCGUUUCUACAUACGUGCUCUAAUUGCAACGUGAUGUAAUCUUUCAUGAUUGCAUCAUACUUUGAAUGAUUGACUGGUAAAUGUUGAACAGGGCUUUUGGACUUAUUUAAAUUUGAAAUAAUGAACUAUUUGGUUUGUACUAUGUAAAAAAAUGUAUACUUAUAGGAUAAUUGUAUUUUAAAAGAAAUAGAUUACAAACAUGCACUCUACAUGGAACAGGUCUCAGAAAUAGUGAUCAUUUUAGCCACUAUUGUAGGCUAAAACUGUAGCCAACCGAUGCAUCUUUAAAUAAGUGAUGGAUUAAUCUCCAGAGAUUAAUAAAUAAAAGUCCAUUAAGAUCCUUUACUUAAUCCUGGCCCAAGACACUGUAGUUCAAACUAUUUAGAAAAUCCUAGUUAAAAAAAUCUUAAUUAUUUAAUUGCUAAUUUGAUCCAUUCCAUGACCAGAAUGCUGAAUAAAAUGGUCCUUUAAGACAGAAACUUGGAUGUACACUAUUUGGAUUAAAUGUACAUACUUUCAAAUACACUUAAUUACACUCCAUUCAAUUAAAAUUCAUGGACCAAAAAGGUCACUAAAAAGAACUUGACAUUUAUGAGUUGUGUACAAUCACUGAAAAUUAGAUUUAAAUUAAAUUAAUUUGAUUUAAACAAAUACAUUUUUGCAUAAAUAAUUCCAUCUUUAGCCAUUGUUGUAAAUAUUUUGUUUUAUUUGAAACCAGGGUUGGGGGAACCAGUCCUGAGUGGACUUAGCUGCUGCUCUGCUUGGCAGCCAGUCUCUUGUCUCUCUCCUCAGCAAUGGUCAGACGGAUACCCUUUCCACGAGGGAUGGACACCCAUGGCUUGUUACCCUGAACACCACACGAGACACAUUUAAGAAAUUACUUUCAUAAUUACGAGGUCACUUCAGAGGGCUGCAGAUAUUAACAUUGGGUUGUUUUAAGUCCAUGCUAAAAAAGUAUAUAUAAAAAAUAGUUGUGCAAAUUCUUCAUGUCUUAAAAUCUGCUCAGAACAGGAUUAUAGGACAUAAAAUGCAUGAGCACAUGUAUCAAAUAUCAGCUCUUUUGCCAGUUUAAAAUCUGAUUAAAAUGCAUGAAGCAAAAGACAAGACUAAUGGGAAAUACUUUAGCCAACAAUAAGCAUUUACAAGAAAGAUUGUUUUACUCUCCAUCUGAAAUUCUUACUAAGUCAACUUUAUACAAUUGCAAAAAUAAGCAAUGAAUGAAAAACCUAACUGGGACUGCAUUAAGCAGCUGUCGGCAGAAAAUGUGUGAAUUUCUCUCUCACCUUGCCAAUGACAAAGAUGUUGGAGAGCCUGGUGGCAAAGCUGUUGCCUGUGCUGUCCUUCACGUGCACCACAUCAAAGGAGCCAGGAUGCCUCUCUCGGUUGGUGAUGACACCAAUACGACCCAAGUUAGCACCACCAGUCACCAUGCACAGGUUACCUACACACAGGUAGAGAAAGCAGACAUGUCACUCAAGUGGAACAUCGACACACAUGUCUUUUACAGGCAGAGCUUAUGACAAAUAAUUCCAACAUGGACUACAAUGUAACCAGUUUGCACAAUUUUCCAUUGACUCCCCAUGUUGGAGUGUUGGCUGACUUCAGUGAGCUUAUAUAUUUUAGCCUUAAAAUAAAUAAAUACUGACCAGUGUCAAACUUGAUGAAAUCUGUGAUUUUGCCAGUCUCCAGGUCAAUGCGGACCGUGUCAUUAGCCUUGAUCAUGGGAUCAGGGUAGCGGAUGGUGCGGGCAUCAUGGGUCACCAGGUGAGGGAUUCCCUUAGUGCCAACAAGGAGUUUCCUAACCUUGCACAGCUUGUACUACAGAUAAACAGGGUGGGGAAAAAGAUUAACACAAUCAGAAACAAGGCUUCUAAUGAAGCAGUAUAGUAGGCUAACUACCUGCAAAAAGAAAAUUAAAAUGUUAAACAAAACAUGCAGGAGCAAAUAAAAAGGUGUCACAUCUCAGUUUCUAAUUCUACAGCACUUGCAGCAAAUAUCUUUUACCGCAAUUACAAAACACAUUCCACAAUAUAAAUUUGUGUCAAAAUGACAAAUGUGGCUCACCUUGGCCUCCUCGUUGGUGAUGCGGUGGACAGUGAAACGGCCUUUCACAUCAUAAAUCAAGCGGAAGUUUUCUCCAGUCUUCUCAAUGCUGAUCACAUCUGCAACCCAAAACACAAAACUGUAACCUGUCCAGAAGCUGUUCAUACAACCUGCUCCAAGUCCCCCACAAACAUCACAGCAACUUACUGGUGGCUAUUUCACACUCACCAGGUUUUGACAAUGAAUCAGAUCAGAUUUAAUAUCCUCUUGGCAAUCUUAUCUGAACUCCCACUGGGUGAAUGACAGUGGCUCCAUAAAAACAAUAACAUUUGUCAGUCUUGGAGGAAGGACAUAUAAUUGCUCAUCCAUCUGUUAAACUGUGCCAUCAAAGUCACCCAUCACACAAACCGAACACUUAUAACAUGGCAAACUCUGCAGUAAACUGCAAAAGGAAAAUAUGUCACAGUAAAGAGACUUCUGCUGUGGUUUACUGUGCACAUCAUAACUAAUUACCAAACACUAAAGAAACUAAUGGAUGCAAAAGUACUUAAAAAACCCCAUACUCUCAACUAAAAUUAAAUGUUUGCCUAGUAGUUCACCAACAUGCUUUCUUAAACUGUCACUCAGAAUGACUACCAUUGGUACUCGAUUUUAAACACCAACAAUGGUACCAAAAAGAACACACCGGAACAGGGUGUUCAUCCAUAACCCUGACUACAUAUGAAGUGUGUUGAAUCAGUGAAUGGAAAAAGAUGAGCCUGCUUGGCAAAUUACCAUUUAACAAUAAUAUCUGGACAGGACAAGCUUUCUAGACAAUGCAUGUUGACUAGCACAGGAAAAGUGAAGUCUUCCCUAUUAGUGUAAAAAAAAUGCAAGUGCCUACGUCUCAUUUUAAUAGAAAACGGACUGAUCUGAUGUUUAUUUUAAGUAGAAAGAUAACUCACCAAAUCCAACUGUAUAAAUGCACUUGUUAUAAAUAUUUUACUUUUGCUGUUGUGUUUCAUUAACCAGAAGAUCAUUAAUCUUACCGUGCAGUACUAUACUUUAGAAAUCCAUAUACAAGCAUUUAUUUUCAUUGGUAUUGCAGUGUAGAGUUAACUGCAAUUUUUGUUAAUGGCACUGGUUUGGGAUUUCACCAACAGAAUUUUGUUGCAUCAAACCCAAUGACAAUAAAACUCAGAUCCCAGUAUUAAACAACUAAUGUUUAGAGAUGCAACUGAAGAGAAUGAGCAAAACAUUUUCCAUCAGAAAUGUCUCUCUUACCAACAUGCCAAUGCCAAAAAGCCAUACAUUACUUGAGGAAUAUCAAGUCCACUCGAAAUCAACUUUUAUUUACAUGAUCGUACAAAGCUGUGAGGCUCUUAUAAGGAUUAUAUACCAAAAUUGUGUCAUCUACUGAAAUCACGGUAAAUGUGGUGCUCCUUGGCUAUAAUAUAACCUAUAAGGCAUUGAAACGAUACUUUGGUUAACAGGACCAAACUGACUUACCCAUAAAUCCAGCAGGGUAGGUGAUGUCGGUGCGGACCUUGCCAUCGACCUUGAUGAACCUCUGCAUGCAGAUCUUCUUAACCUCGUCUCCAGUCAGCGCGUACUUCAGCCUGUUCCUCAGGAAGAUGAUGAGGGGCAGACAUUCUCUCAGCUUGUGGGGACCGGUGGAGGGCCGAGGAGC